GUUCCCUAUGUGACAGAACAUCUGAGAAGCCAAAGAAGAGACAGUGAGAAAACGGAAUUUUGUCUUAUUGUAGAAGACUGGUAUACCAUCUCAGGCAAAUGGACAUGGUAAAAGCUGAUCAAGAAUGGAUGAAUAUGGAGAAAGAAAGAGAGAAAGCCAAGGAAGCAAGAAGUUGAAAGCAACAAAACCUGGAAGAGAAGGGAGACACUAGCAGAGGCUGCCAUGUGCCUUGCCAUGUGGCAGAGGAGUCAAAGAUCCCUGGCAGCCCGUCUUUGGAAAGAACGUAUCACCUUGAUGAUGCCUUGAUUUGGACAUUUUUCUCAGCCUCAAAACCAAGAGAUUUUAAGCUAAUAAAUUCCCAUUGUUAAAGCCAAUGCAUUUCAGGGUAUCUGCUU
Long non-coding RNA from Choloepus didactylus (southern two-toed sloth), 395 nucleotides. RefSeq lists it as uncharacterized. The transcript has 3 exons. The record is from RefSeq and is a predicted model, not a curated record. Lineage: Eukaryota; Metazoa; Chordata; Mammalia; Pilosa; Megalonychidae.